AACGAACGCUGGCGGCAUGCCUAAUACAUGCAAGUCGAACGAGAUCUUCGGAUCUAGUGGCGCACGGGUGCGUAACGCGUGGGAAUCUGCCCUUGGGUUCGGAAUAACGUCGGGAAACUGACGCUAAUACCGGAUGAUGACGUAAGUCGAAAGAUUUAUCGCCCAAGGAUGAGCCCGCGUAGGAUUAGCUAGUGGGUGGGGUAAAGGCCCACCAAGGCGACGAUCCUUAGCUGGUCUGAGAGGAUGGUCAGCCACACUGGGACUGAGACACGGCCCAGACUCCUACGGGAGGCAGCAGUAUGGAAUAUUGGACAAUGGGGGCAACCCUGAUCCAGCAAUGCCGCGUGAGUGAUGAAGGCCUUAGGGUUGUAAAGCUCUUUUACCCGGGAUGAUAAUGACAGUACCGGGAGAAUAAGCCCCGGCUAACUCCGUGCCAGCAGCCGCGGUAA
This 449-nucleotide ribosomal RNA is filed under the name uncultured bacterium. RNAcentral's name for it is "partial 16S ribosomal RNA". It matches the Rfam family "Bacterial small subunit ribosomal RNA", at positions 29 to 523 of the family's 1533-position model. The record is from RNAcentral.